UUACUUGUGUUUCUCUUCAGAUUGUAUAAAUCUUUUGCCCUUUACUAAAGCUUUCCAUGGAGAAAAACAACUCAACUUAUAGACCAAUUUUUUGAGGCUUUAUCUUAGCAAGGCU
This is a small nuclear RNA of Heterocephalus glaber (naked mole-rat), 115 nucleotides long. Its record names the gene U5. It matches the Rfam family "U5 spliceosomal RNA". From Rfam's summary of the family: U5 RNA is a component of both types of known spliceosome. The precise function of this molecule is unknown, though it is known that the 5' loop is required for splice site selection and p220 binding, and that both the 3' stem-loop and the Sm site are important for Sm protein binding and cap methylation. NCBI's taxonomy places the organism in Eukaryota, Metazoa, Chordata, Mammalia, Rodentia, Bathyergidae. The record is from Ensembl.